Molecule: ribosomal RNA, 261 nt
Filed under: uncultured archaeon
Lineage: Archaea
Description: partial 16S ribosomal RNA
Rfam family: Archaeal small subunit ribosomal RNA
Source: RNAcentral
CAGCCGUAAACUAUGCUCGCUAGGUGUCAGGCAUGGCGCGACCGUGUCUGGUGCCGCAGGGAAGCCGUGAAGCGAGCCACCUGGGAAGUACGGCCGCAAGGCUGAAACUUAAAGGAAUUGGCGGGGGAGCACAACAACGGGUGGAGCCUGCGGUUUAAUUGGACUCAACGCCGGGAAGCUCACCGGAUAAGACAGCAAUAUGUAGGCCAGGCUGAAGACCUUGCCUGAAUCGCUGAGAGGAGGUGCAUGGCGUAGACGUCU